CGAGAGAGAGCUUGCUUUCUCAAGCGAGUGGCGAACGGGUGAGUAACGCGUGAGGAACCUGCCUCAAAGAGGGGGACAACAGUUGGAAACGACUGCUACUACCGCAUAAGCCCACGGGUCGGCAUCGACCAGAGGGAAAAGGAGCAAUCCGCUUUGAGAUGGCCUCGCGUCCGAUUAGCUAGUUGGUGAGGUAACGGCCCACCAAGGCAACGAUCGGUAGCCGGACUGAGAGGUUGAACGGCCACAUUGGGACUGAGACACGGCCCAGACUCCUACGGGAGGCAGCAGUGGGGAAUAUUGCACAAUGGGGGAAACCCUGAUGCAGCGACGCCGCGUGGAGGAAGAAGGUCUUCGGAUUGUAAACUCCUGUUGUUGAGGAAGAUAAUGACGGUACUCAACAAGGAAGUGACGGCUAACUACGUGCCAGCAGCCGCGGUAAAACGUAGGUCACAAGCGUUGUCCGGAAUUACUGGGUGUAAAGGGAGCGCAGGCGGGAAGACAAGUUGGAAGUGAAAUCUAUGGGCUCAACCCAUAAACUGCUUUCAAAACUGUUUUUCUUGAGUAGUGCAGAGGUAGGCGGAAUUCCCGGUGUAGCGGUGGAAUGCGUAGAUAUCGGGAGGAACACCAGUGGCGAAGGCGGCCUACUGGGCACCAACUGACGCUGAGGCUCGAAAGUGUGGGUAGCAAACAGGAUUAGAUACCCUGGUAGUCCACACCGUAAAC
RNAcentral lists this ribosomal RNA (723 nucleotides) under uncultured bacterium. RNAcentral describes it as "bacterial SSU rRNA". It matches the Rfam family "Bacterial small subunit ribosomal RNA", at positions 69 to 807 of the family's 1533-position model. The record is from RNAcentral.